AACGAACGCUGGCGGCGUGGAUAAGACAUGCAAGUCGAGCGGGAACUUUCGCUGUAGCAAUACAGUGAAAGUUCUAGCGGCGAACGGGUGCGUAACACGUGGGCAAUCUGCCGAGAAGUGGGGGAUAGCUCGCCGAAAGGCGAAUUAAUACCGCAUAUGAUCAGUGAAGACAUCUUCACGACAUCAAAGCCGGGGCAACCUGGCGCUUCUUGAUGAGCCCGCGGCCUAUCAGCUAGUUGGUGAGGUAACGGCUCACCAAGGCUAUGACGGGUAGCUGGUCUGAGAGGACGACCAGUCACACUGGAACUGAGACACGGUCCAGACACCUACGGGUGGCAGCAGUCGAGAAUUUUCUCAAUGGGGGCAACCCUGAAGGAGCGACGCCGCGUGGA
Molecule: ribosomal RNA, 392 nt
Filed under: uncultured bacterium
Lineage: Bacteria
Description: bacterial SSU rRNA
Rfam family: Bacterial small subunit ribosomal RNA
Source: RNAcentral